RNAcentral lists this ribosomal RNA (437 nucleotides) under Neonectria sp. P.trichoGP2. RNAcentral's name for it is "eukaryotic LSU rRNA". The stretch from base 59 to 212 matches the Rfam family "5.8S ribosomal RNA". Lineage: Eukaryota; Fungi; Ascomycota; Sordariomycetes; Hypocreales; Nectriaceae. The record is from RNAcentral.
GANCCCAAACCCAAACUUCCUUGAGUGAGUCUUCUGAGUAACCGAUUAAAUCAAUCAAAACUUUCAACAACGGAUCUCUUGGUUCUGGCAUCGAUGAAGAACGCAGCGAAAUGCGAUAAGUAAUGUGAAUUGCAGAAUUCAGUGAAUCAUCGAAUCUUUGAACGCACAUUGCGCCCGCCAGUAUUCUGGCGGGCAUGCCUGUUCGAGCGUCAUUACAUCCCUCAAGCCCCCGGGCUUGGUGUUGGGGAUCGGCGAGCCUCAGCGCCCGCCGUCCCCUAAAUUUAGUGGCGGUCACGCUGUAACUUCCUCUGCGUAGUAGCACACUUAGCACUGGGAAACAGCGCGGCCACGCCGUAAAACCCCCCAACUUUUGAACGUUUGACCUCGAAUCAGGUAGGACUACCCGCUGAACUUAAGCAUAUCAAUAAGCGGAGGAA